Molecule: RNA transcript, 1624 nt
Organism: Rattus rattus (black rat)
Lineage: Eukaryota; Metazoa; Chordata; Mammalia; Rodentia; Muridae
Gene name: ADP-ribosylation factor 1-like
Exons: 2
Source: RefSeq, a predicted model, not a curated record
GGAGCAGCCGCCUUGGAGGUCUCUGGCCAGUAUCGCUUCCACCUGUCCACAAACAUGGGGAAUAUCUUUGCAAACCUCUUCAAGGGACUUUUUGGCAAAAAAGAAACGUGCAUUCUCUUGGUGGGCCUGGAUGCUGCAGGGAAGACAAACUGAAGCUGGGCGAAAUUGUGACCACCAUUCCCACCAUUGGUUUCAACAUGGAGACUGUUGAAUACAAGAAUAUCAGCUUCACCGUGUGGGAUGUGGGUGGCUAGGACAAGAUUCAGCCGCUGUGGCGCCACUACUUCCAGAACACCCAAGGCUUGAUCUUCGUAGUGGACAGCAAUGACAGAGAGCGUGUGAACGAGGCCCGUGAAGAGCUCAUGAGGAUGCUAGCUGAAGAUGAGCUCCGAGAUGCCGUUCUCUUGGUGUUUGCCAACAAGCAGGACCUCCCCAAUGCCAUGAAUGCGGCCGAAAUCACAGACAAGCUGGGGCUGCACUCUCUACGCCACAGAAACUGGUACAUUCAGGCUACCUGUGCCACCAGCGGAGACGGGCUCUAUGAAGGACUAGACCGGUUGUCUAAUCAGCUCCGGAACCAGAAGUGAACCAGACCCCUUCUUCCCCCUCACUUCCUCUUCUCUGCCCUCAGCUUUCCUCUCAUGUGGCAAAUGUGCGACUCUGUGGUCCUGAGUGCCAGAAGCUGUCUCCAUGGGUUGGUCACAGUGUGCAUCGCACCGUGCUGUACAUGUGCAGACGCAGCCUGCAGCCAGGUGUUUAUUUAAUGUAAACAGUUUCUGUUCCCACUGAGGCAGUUUCUGGUACUCCUAUGCAAUAUUACUUAGCUUUUCUAUUGUAAAAAGAGAAUCAGCUCACUGUCAGUACUGAAAGGGAUUUGGGUGUAAGGGCACCUGGCCUCCGGGAACCACUAGACUGUAGACUGGUGUCGGUAUCCAUUUGGUGGUUGGUUUUUAACCCAAACUCAGUUCAUCUUUUAAAAAUAGUUUAAAAUACAGGACAAGAACACUUGAACACACAGAACAGAGACUAUGCCUAGUGUAGGUUUUGCAGUUAAUGGCCUGAAUGCUAGUUAUCAGAUCACCUGUUUCCCUGUGGGAACAGGAGAGAAGGUGACGAACAAACCACCAUCCUCUGCAUGGUCACAGUAGAGCCCCCGUGACUCGCCUGUCUUUGGGUCACCUGCAUUCCAUAGCAUUGUGCUUGUACAUGCGCUCACACGGUCACCUACGGGUGGGCUGGGAGCCAUUCUGAGGUGCAGGGCCUGGCUUGUACUUGGUGUGUGGCCAGGCCCAAUGGCAGCCUACAUACCCAGCUUACUCUUGGGCCCACUUGGACGCACUGGCAGGAGGCCUGGGUCUCACCAGCAGGAGUGCGUGCAAGGUGGGAGGGUCGGUCCAUUACAGACCCACAUCCUGGAGCACCCCCAUCUCCAUGUGUGAAGUAGCUUCCUCCCUCAGCCUGCAAGGGUCCGAUUUGCCAUCGAAAGACGACCUCUACUUUUUUCUUUUGUAUUUUGAUAAACAUUGAAGAAGCUGGAGCUGUUAAAUUUAUCUUGGGGAAAUCUCAGAACUGGUUUAUUUAGUGUUGUGGAACCUUUUACUGCUUUCAAUACACAAUUAGUAAU